Molecule: transfer RNA, 60 nt
Filed under: Polistes humilis (Australian paper wasp)
Lineage: Eukaryota; Metazoa; Arthropoda; Insecta; Hymenoptera; Vespidae
Also listed under: 1 other name
Description: tRNA-Ser
Source: RNAcentral
GAAAUAAUAUAAUAAAGCUUCUAACUUUAAACAUAAUGAAUAAAAAUUCAUUUUAUUUCC